GAUUGGUUACCUUGUUACGACUUCACCCCAGUCAUGAGUCACUCCGUGGUAAGCGUCCUCCUUACGGUUAGACUACCUACUUCUGGAGCAACAAACUCCCAUGGUGUGACGGGCGGUGUGUACAAGGCCCGGGAACGUAUUCACCGCGGCAUUCUGAUCCGCGAUUACUAGCGAUUCCGACUUCAUGGAGUCGAGUUGCAGACUGCAAUCCGGACUACGAUUGGCUUUAUGAGAUUAGCAUCACAUCGCUGUGUAGGCAACCCUUUGUACCAACCAUUGUAGCACGUGUGUAGCCCUGGUCGUAAGGGCCAUGAUGACUUGACGUCGUCCCCGCCUUCCUCCAGUUUGUCACUGGCAGUAUCCUUAAAGUGCCCACCC
RNAcentral lists this ribosomal RNA (378 nucleotides) under uncultured bacterium. RNAcentral's name for it is "partial 16S ribosomal RNA". The record is from RNAcentral.